Long non-coding RNA from Sapajus apella (tufted capuchin), 372 nucleotides. RefSeq lists it as uncharacterized. The transcript has 3 exons. The record is from RefSeq and is a predicted model, not a curated record. NCBI's taxonomy places the organism in Eukaryota, Metazoa, Chordata, Mammalia, Primates, Cebidae.
CAGGGCCUCAGGGGAACCCCCCCUCCCCGCCAGAAGAGAGGCCGCUGGUCCGCAGCCCCUUGCCCCACGCGAAGGGAGGUCAAGACUCACAGCUCCUGUCCCGGAAGCUCUGACUCUGAGGGCGGGACCCUGCCCCUACCCUAGGGAGCCCAGAGUCUGAGAGGAGACGCCAUCUCAGCCCUGCCCUGUUCAUUCCCUUUGUACUAAUGGCUGAGUGACCCAACUCAGUUUGGCUUGACUUAAGCAAGCCCUCUCUCUCUGAAGACUUGAAUGCCUACUCCCUUCACUGAGUGGUUUUCUCUGUUCCUGGACAACUCAGUGAGAAAGCAAUCAUCUGCACACCAAGAAGCGAGCCCUUAUCAGAGCUCAACC